Molecule: ribosomal RNA, 253 nt
Filed under: uncultured bacterium
Lineage: Bacteria
Description: partial 16S ribosomal RNA
Rfam family: Bacterial small subunit ribosomal RNA
Source: RNAcentral
UACAGGGGGUGCAAACGUUGCUCGGAAUCAUUGGGCGUAAAGCGCACGUAGGCGGUCUGUUAUGUCGGAUGUGAAAGCCCUCGGCUCAACUGAGGAAGUGCAUCCGAAACUGGCAGGCUAGAGUACUAAAGAGGGUCGCGGAAUUCCCGGUGUAGAGGUGAAAUUCGUAGAUAUCGGGAGGAACACCGGUGGCGAAGGCGGCGGCCUGGGUAGAUACUGACGCUGAGGUGCGAAAGCGUGGGGAGCAAACAGG